Non-coding RNA from Pongo abelii (Sumatran orangutan), 296 nucleotides. Lineage: Eukaryota; Metazoa; Chordata; Mammalia; Primates; Hominidae. The record is from Rfam.
ACAGGGCAAGGUUGCAUGCCUAUAUUCUCAACUUCUUGGGAGGCUGAGGCAGGGGAAUUGCUUGAGCCAAGGAUUUCUAAGAUGUAGUGUGCCAUGCCACUCAGAUGUCCACACUGUUUUUCAUCAGUGUGGUGGCCUCCUAUGAGCAGGAGAGCACCAGAUUGCUCGAAGAGAGGUGAACCAUCCCGGGUCAGAAAUGAAGCAGGUCAAAACUCUCAGGCUGUUCCAUAGUGGGAUCACACCUGUGAAUAGUCACUGCAUUCCAGCCUGUACAACAUAACUAUAACCUGUGUCAA